GGAGGUAGUGACAAUAAAUCACAAUGCGGGACUGUUAGUCUUGCAAUUGGAUUGAGAACAACGUACAACUCUUAUCGAUAAGCCAUUGGAGGGCAAGUCUGGUGCCAGCAGCCGCGGUAAUUCCAGCUCCAAUAGCGUAUAUUAACGUUGUUGCAGUUAAAAAGCUCGUAGUUGAAGUGAGGGAGUGUGUGGGUAUGAGAGCUAGUCUCAAGUACUCACAACCUCCCCCCUCCAAUCGGUGUAGUGGGGUAUUCAGUUAUUCUACUACUCCUUUGGUCGUUUACUGUGAGAAAAUUAGAGUGUUCAAAGCGGGCGUUUGUUUGAAUAGAUUAGCAUGGAAUAAUGAUUGAAGGCUUUCGUGUUCGAUUUGAUUGGUUUGUUCAUGGAAGCAAGGUUAAAAGGAACAGUUGGGGGUAUUCAUAUUCACUAGUUAGAGGUGAAAUUCUCGGAUUUAUGGAAGAUGAACAAGUGCGAAAGCA
Molecule: ribosomal RNA, 479 nt
Filed under: Blastocystis sp.
Lineage: Eukaryota; Bigyra; Opalinata; Blastocystidae
Description: SSU rRNA
Rfam family: Eukaryotic small subunit ribosomal RNA
Source: RNAcentral